This 468-nucleotide ribosomal RNA is filed under the name uncultured bacterium. Its description in RNAcentral is "partial 16S ribosomal RNA". It matches the Rfam family "Bacterial small subunit ribosomal RNA", at positions 28 to 507 of the family's 1533-position model. The record is from RNAcentral.
GACGAACGCUGGCGGUGUGCUUAACACAUGCAAGUCGAACGGCAACGCACUGAUUUCGUGCGGUUCCCGAGUGCCGAUCGGGGGCGUAACACGAGUGCAACCUGCUCUACACUUUGGGAUAACUUCACGUAACUGGGCUUACGCUCGUACAGGAGACCACGCACCAUGGAGGGCGGUGGAUCGUUGCGGCGGGUGGGGAUGGAUUCGCGGCUUACCAGCUUGCUGGUGGGGUAGUGGCUUACCAAGGCUGUGACGGGUAGCCGGCCUGAGAGGGUGACCGGCCACAUUGGGACUGAGAUACGGCCCAGACUCCUACGGGAGGCAGCAGUGGGGAAUAUUGCACAAUGGGCGGAAGCCUGAUGCAGCAACGCCGCGUGCGGGAUGACGGCCUUCGGGUUGUAAACCACUGUCGCCUGUGACGAAGCGUGAGUGACGGUAAUGGGUAAAGAAGCACCGGCUAACUACGUG